This is a long non-coding RNA of Cornus florida, 1763 nucleotides long. RefSeq lists it as uncharacterized. The transcript has 2 exons. NCBI's taxonomy places the organism in Eukaryota, Viridiplantae, Streptophyta, Magnoliopsida, Cornales, Cornaceae. The record is from RefSeq and is a predicted model, not a curated record.
AUAUUUAUUUAUUUUACCUUAUUUUUUCUUUAUAUAUAUUUGAUUGAUUUUUUUUAUUUGUUUAAUAGUGAAAAACUUCAUUUGAUGAGGCACCACGGCUCCCUCAUGAAGCCGGGGGAUAGAAUUAAUUUUCUAUGUUUCGCGGUAAAAGACUUGAGAGAGAGAGAGAAUUGGAAAUUUCAUAAUACAAAAGGAUCCUACCACUACUCUUCAAGUCUUUGGCUUCAGGUAUGAAGCACGGACACGGACACGAGACACGGAUAUGAUACGACACGGAUAUGGCGAUACGGCAAAUGUGAAAAAAAUAGGACACGGACACGGACACGGCAAUAAAAUAAUAAUAUUAUUUUUUAUUAUCUAUAAAAAACUUAACUUUUGCACACUUUCUUAUAUAUUUAUAAUAAACCAAACACAUUUAAAUUAGUUCAAGCACAUAGAUUAUAUAUUUUUUAAAAGAUUCGUAGCCUAAAUUACAUUAACAUACUAUAUAUAUAUUCAACAAAACACAUUAUUUGUUGCCAAACAGAUCCAAAAGAAGCGUGUCUUCUUUGGCCUUGGUAUGUCCGCUGAUAAGAUGCGAUCUCGAUGCCUCUGCAUCACGCCACUUUAAUCCUUCCUCUAUCUCUUCAUCUCACUGAUUCAUGACCCUCUGCUUCCUUCUUUUGGUGGUCCCUUCUCAUCCCUAUUAUUUCUUUACAAACUUUUCUCUUUUAAUUGAUAUAUAUAUAAUCACACAUAUAUGAUUUCGACAUAUACCCACAUCAACUGUUAUACAGAUCUUCAUCGCAAUAUCCCUCUUCAUCUCCUUCCUCUCCAGCGUGUCUUCCGGCGCGACCCUCUUCAUCUUGUUCCUUUUUGGCGUGUCCUCCGGUGUGUCGUGCCGUAUUCAAUAUAUUAAAAAAAUUAAAAAAUACAGGACACGCUCAAAGGGGUGUCGGACACGUGUCCAGCCCUUGGACACGCUUGUCCGUGUCCGACACCAGUACGAGGAGCUUCACUGCCGUGUCGGUGCUUCACAUGGCUUUAGAGAUCACUUACGUAGACUUUACAUGGACAACGCUGGUCUUCUCGCAUCUCAAAUAAAUAUACUUAUAAGUAUAUUUAUUUAUUUUACCUUAUUUAUCAAAAAAUAUAUUUAUUUAUUUUACCUUUUUUUUUCUUUUUUUCUUUUUCUAUAUAUAUAUAUAUUUUGUUUAAUAGUGAAAAACUGCAUUUGAUGAGGCACCACGGCUCCCUCAUGAAGCCGGGGGAUAGAAUUAAUUUUUUAUGUUUCGCGGUAAAAGACUUGAGAGAGAUUGAAUUGGAAAUUUCAUAAUACUAAAGGAUCCUACCACUACUCUUCAAGUCUUCGGCGUCAGAGAUCAACUACCUAGACUUUACAUGGACAACGCUGGUCUUCUCGCAUCUCAAAGAAAAGCAAACAAGCUCAAAAAGUUUUGAAGUAUCAAAACUGUUUCAUUUAGACCAUGGUUGUUAUGAGACAACUACCAAUCAAAGGGUGAGCAAUAUGCCGCCUCAGUCAAUAUCAGGUUUACUUGUUGGGAAGAGAGAAAAAUCUCAAUGGAGUAGUAGUGUCUGAAAAAGAUAGGUAUGUUUUCUAGAGUAUUCUUUUGUUAAUUAAGAAUGCUACAUUAUAUUUGUUGUCUUUCUCAUGUAUUUAAAAAUAUUUGGAACAUAAUUUGUAUGAGUAAUGUGCCAGAUUUGUGCAUGCGUAGACACAUGCGAAUUGUGCAAUUGAGCUUUCAUUAAUUUGUUUGUGCUUC